AUCUUCCGCAAUGGGCGAAAGCCUGACGGAGCAACGCCGCGUGAGUGAUGAAGGGUUUCGGCUCGUAAAACUCUGUUCUUAGGGAAGAACAAAUGUGUAAGUAACUGUGCACAUCUUUACGGUACAUAAUCAGAAAGCCACGGCUAACUACGUGUCAGCAGCCGCGGUAAUACGUAGGUGGCAAGCGUUAUCCGGAAUUAUUGGGCGUAAAGCGCGCGUAGGCGUUUUCUUAAGUCUUGUGUGAAAGCCCACGGCUCAACCGUGGAGGGUCAUUGGAAACUGGGAAACUUGAGUGCAGAAGAGGAAAGUGGAAUUCCAUGUGUAGCGGUGAAAUGCGCAGAGAUAUGGAGGAACACCAGUGGCGAAGGCGACUUUCUGGUCUGUAACUGACGCUGAUGUGCGAAAGCGUGGGGAUCAAACA
RNAcentral lists this ribosomal RNA (421 nucleotides) under uncultured bacterium. RNAcentral describes it as "bacterial SSU rRNA". It matches the Rfam family "Bacterial small subunit ribosomal RNA", at positions 361 to 774 of the family's 1533-position model. The record is from RNAcentral.